Molecule: ribosomal RNA, 253 nt
Filed under: uncultured bacterium
Lineage: Bacteria
Description: partial 16S ribosomal RNA
Rfam family: Bacterial small subunit ribosomal RNA
Source: RNAcentral
UACGAAGGGGGCUAGCGUUGCUCGGAAUCACUGGGCGUAAAGGGUGCGUAGGCGGGUCUUUAAGUCAUGGGUGAAAUCCUGGAGCUCAACUCCAGAACUGCCUUUGAUACUGAGGAUCUUGAGUUCGGGAGAGGUGAGUGGAACUGCGAGUGUAGAGGUGAAAUUCGUAGAUAUUCGCAAGAACACCAGUGGCGAAGGCGGCUCACUGGCCCGAUACUGACGCUGAGGAGCGAAAGCGUGGGGAGCGAACAGG